UACGUAGGGGGCGAGCGUUGUCCGGAAUUACUGGGCGUAAAGGGCGCGUAGGCGGCUUAAUAAGUCUGAUGUGAAAAUCCUGGGCUUAACCCAGGGCUUGCAUUAGAAACUGUUGAGCUUGAGGACAGGAGAGGAAAGCGGAAUUCCCAGUGUAGCGGUGAAAUGCGUAGAUAUUGGGAAGAACACCAGUGGCGAAGGCGGCUUUCUGGACUGCACCUGACGCUGAGGCGCGAAAGCCAGGGGAGCGAAC
Molecule: ribosomal RNA, 250 nt
Filed under: uncultured bacterium
Lineage: Bacteria
Description: partial 16S ribosomal RNA
Rfam family: Bacterial small subunit ribosomal RNA
Source: RNAcentral